AAUGGAUGCCGCUGAAGCGUCGUGCCUAUGCUCGGCCGUCAGUGGCAGAGUGGGCUGCAGCGUGCGUUCGCAGACCCGGUAAGCCCUGACGAGUAGGAGGGCGCAGUGGUGUGCGCAGAAGGGACCGAGCCGUAAGGCCGCCUGGAGCCGCCACUGGUGCAGAUCUUGGUGGUAGUAGCAAAUACUCGAGUGAGAGCCCUGGAGGGCUGAUGUGGAGAAGGGUUCCUUGUGAACAGCCGUUGCACAAGGCUCAGUCGAUCCUAAGUCCUCGCCAAACAGCGACGCGUGGUUCAACCGCCAGGACGAAAGGGGACGCGGUCCCCAUUCCGCUACCUGGACGCGGAACCGCUCGUUUCGUGGCCCUCGUUGAAGGCCUCGUCGGGGUAACCCGAAAAGACCCGGAGAAGCUGAGGGGAGCUCCGGGGAGAGUUAUCUUUUCUGUAUCAGCGUUGUAGCUGCCUGGAAUCCUCUAGCAGGGAGAUAGGGAGCCGAACGCGGAGAGCACCGCUUGCUGCGGUGUCCGGAGCCUCUCCCUCGGACCGUGAAAAUCCGGGAGAGGGCCACGCGAAGUCUCGCGCCAGGUCGUACUCAUAUCCGCAUCAGGUCUCCGAGGUGAAGAGCCUCUAGUCGUAUA
Molecule: ribosomal RNA, 634 nt
Filed under: Colophorina flavivittata
Lineage: Eukaryota; Metazoa; Arthropoda; Insecta; Hemiptera; Psyllidae
Description: partial 28S ribosomal RNA
Rfam family: Eukaryotic large subunit ribosomal RNA
Source: RNAcentral